This 2096-nucleotide ribosomal RNA is filed under the name Klebsiella quasipneumoniae. Its description in RNAcentral is "bacterial LSU rRNA". It matches the Rfam family "Bacterial large subunit ribosomal RNA", at positions 104 to 2228 of the family's 2925-position model. Lineage: Bacteria; Pseudomonadati; Pseudomonadota; Gammaproteobacteria; Enterobacterales; Enterobacteriaceae. RNAcentral also lists the same sequence under 5 other names. The record is from RNAcentral.
CCGGCGAUGUCCGAAUGGGGAAACCCAGUGCAAUUCGUUGCACUAUCGUUAACUGAAUACAUAGGUUAACGAGGCGAACCGGGGGAACUGAAACAUCUAAGUACCCCGAGGAAAAGAAAUCAACCGAGAUUCCCCCAGUAGCGGCGAGCGAACGGGGAGCAGCCCAGAGUCUGAAUCAGCUUGUGUGUUAGUGGAACGGUCUGGAAAGUCCGACGGUACAGGGUGAUAGUCCCGUACACCAAAAUGCACAGGUUGUGAACUCGAAGAGUAGGGCGGGACACGUGGUAUCCUGUCUGAAUAUGGGGGGACCAUCCUCCAAGGCUAAAUACUCCUGACUGACCGAUAGUGAACCAGUACCGUGAGGGAAAGGCGAAAAGAACCCCGGCGAGGGGAGUGAAAAAGAACCUGAAACCGUGUACGUACAAGCAGUGGGAGCACCUUCGGGUGUGACUGCGUACCUUUUGUAUAAUGGGUCAGCGACUUAUAUUCUGUAGCAAGGUUAACCGUAUAGGGGAGCCGCAGGGAAACCGAGUCUUAACUGGGCGUUAAGUUGCAGGGUAUAGACCCGAAACCCGGUGAUCUAGCCAUGGGCAGGUUGAAGGUUGGGUAACACUAACUGGAGGACCGAACCGACUAAUGUUGAAAAAUUAGCGGAUGACUUGUGGCUGGGGGUGAAAGGCCAAUCAAACCGGGAGAUAGCUGGUUCUCCCCGAAAGCUAUUUAGGUAGCGCCUCGUGAACUCAUCUUCGGGGGUAGAGCACUGUUUCGGCUAGGGGGUCAUCCCGACUUACCAACCCGAUGCAAACUACGAAUACCGAAGAAUGUUAUCACGGGAGACACACGGCGGGUGCUAACGUCCGUCGUGAAGAGGGAAACAACCCAGACCGCCAGCUAAGGUCCCAAAGUCAUGGUUAAGUGGGAAACGAUGUGGGAAGGCACAGACAGCCAGGAUGUUGGCUUAGAAGCAGCCAUCAUUUAAAGAAAGCGUAAUAGCUCACUGGUCGAGUCGGCCUGCGCGGAAGAUGUAACGGGGCUAAACCAUGCACCGAAGCUGCGGCAGCGACACGAUGUGUUGUUGGGUAGGGGAGCGUUCUGUAAGCCUGCGAAGGUGACCUGUGAGGGUUGCUGGAGGUAUCAGAAGUGCGAAUGCUGACAUAAGUAACGAUAAAGCGGGUGAAAAGCCCGCUCGCCGGAAGACCAAGGGUUCCUGUCCAACGUUAAUCGGGGCAGGGUGAGUCGACCCCUAAGGCGAGGCCGAAAGGCGUAGUCGAUGGGAAACAGGUUAAUAUUCCUGUACUUGGUGUUACUGCGAAGGGGGGACGGAGAAGGCUAUGUUAGCCGGGCGACGGUUGUCCCGGUUUAAGCAUGUAGGCUGGUUAUCCAGGCAAAUCCGGAUAAUCAAGGCUGAGGUGUGAUGACGAGGCACUACGGUGCUGAAGUAACAAAUGCCCUGCUUCCAGGAAAAGCCUCUAAGCAUCAGGUAACAUCAAAUCGUACCCCAAACCGACACAGGUGGUCAGGUAGAGAAUACCAAGGCGCUUGAGAGAACUCGGGUGAAGGAACUAGGCAAAAUGGUGCCGUAACUUCGGGAGAAGGCACGCUGGUGUGUAGGUGAAGUCCCUGCGGAUGGAGCUGAGACCAGUCGAAGAUACCAGCUGGCUGCAACUGUUUAUUAAAAACACAGCACUGUGCAAACACGAAAGUGGACGUAUACGGUGUGACGCCUGCCCGGUGCCGGAAGGUUAAUUGAUGGGGUUAUCCGUAAGGAGAAGCUCUUGAUCGAAGCCCCGGUAAACGGCGGCCGUAACUAUAACGGUCCUAAGGUAGCGAAAUUCCUUGUCGGGUAAGUUCCGACCUGCACGAAUGGCGUAAUGAUGGCCAGGCUGUCUCCACCCGAGACUCAGUGAAAUUGAACUCGCUGUGAAGAUGCAGUGUACCCGCGGCAAGACGGAAAGACCCCGUGAACCUUUACUAUAGCUUGACACUGAACAUUGAGCCUUGAUGUGUAGGAUAGGUGGGAGGCUUUGAAGCGUGGACGCCAGUCUGCGUGGAGCCAACCUUGAAAUACCACCCUUUAAUGUUUGAUGUUCUAACGU